CCUACGGGGGGCAGCAGUGGGGAAUAUUGGACAAUGGGCGAAAGCCUGAUCCAGCCAUGCCGCGUGUGUGAAGAAGGCCUUCGGGUUGUAAAGCACUUUCAGUGGGGAAGAAAGCCUUGGGGCUAAUACCCUCGAGGAAGGACAUCACCCACAGAAGAAGCACCGGCUAACUCCGUGCCAGCAGCCGCGGUAAUACGGAGGGUGCGAGCGUUAAUCGGAAUUACUGGGCGUAAAGCGCGCGUAGGCGGUCUGAUAAGCCGGUUGUGAAAGCCCCGGGCUCAACCUGGGAACGGCAUCCGGAACUGUCAGGCUAGAGUGCAGGAGAAGAAGGUAGAAUUCCCGGUGUAGCGGUGAAAUGCGUAGAGAUCGGGAGGAAUACCAGUUGCGAAGGCGGCCUUCUGGACUGACACUGACGCUGAGGUGCGAAAGCGUGGGUAGCAAACAGGAUUAGAUACCCGGGUAGUC
Molecule: ribosomal RNA, 465 nt
Filed under: Vreelandella stevensii
Lineage: Bacteria; Pseudomonadati; Pseudomonadota; Gammaproteobacteria; Oceanospirillales; Halomonadaceae
Description: partial 16S ribosomal RNA
Rfam family: Bacterial small subunit ribosomal RNA
Source: RNAcentral